Molecule: ribosomal RNA, 253 nt
Filed under: uncultured bacterium
Lineage: Bacteria
Description: partial 16S ribosomal RNA
Rfam family: Bacterial small subunit ribosomal RNA
Source: RNAcentral
UACAGAGGUCCCGAGCGUUGUUCGGAUUCACUGGGCGUAAAGGGUGCGUAGGCGGCCGGGCAAGUCCGGUGUGAAAUCUCGGAGCUUAACUCCGAAACUGCAUUGGAUACUUUCCGGCUGGAGGUUGGGAGGGGGGACUGGAAUUCUCGGUGUAGCAGUGAAAUGCGUAGAUAUCGAGAGGAACACCAGUGGCGAAGGCGAGUCCCUGGACCAAUCCUGACGCUGAGGCACGAAAGCCAGGGGAGCAAACGGG